Molecule: ribosomal RNA, 511 nt
Filed under: uncultured Pelospora sp.
Lineage: Bacteria; Bacillati; Bacillota; Clostridia; Eubacteriales; Syntrophomonadaceae
Description: bacterial SSU rRNA
Rfam family: Bacterial small subunit ribosomal RNA
Source: RNAcentral
CGAACGCUGGCGGCGUGCCUAACACAUGCAAGUCGAACGGAGAUAUCAAUGAAGCUUGCGAUUUGAUAUUUUAGUGGCGGACGGGUGAGUAACGCGUGGGUAAUCUGCCCAUAAGUGGGGAACAACAGUUGGAAACGACUGCUAAUACCGCAUACGCUACCGCAAGGUAGGAAAGGUGGCCUCUGAAUAUGCUGCCGCUUAUGGAUGAGCCCGCGUCUGAUUAGCUAGUUGGUGGGGUAAAGGCCUACCAAGGCGACGAUCAGUAGCCGGCCUGAGAGGGUGAACGGCCACACUGGGACUGAGACACGGCCCAGACUCCUACGGGAGGCAGCAGUGGGGAAUAUUGCGCAAUGGGGGAAACCCUGACGCAGCGACGCCGCGUGAGCGAUGAAGGCCUUAGGGUUGUAAAGCUCUGUUUUAAGGGACGAAUGUUACGGGGAGUAAUAUGCCCUGUAAAUGACGGUACCUUAAGAGGAAGCCCCGGCUAACUACGUGCCAGCAGCCGCGGUAA